This 253-nucleotide ribosomal RNA is filed under the name uncultured bacterium. RNAcentral describes it as "partial 16S ribosomal RNA". It matches the Rfam family "Bacterial small subunit ribosomal RNA", at positions 524 to 776 of the family's 1533-position model. The record is from RNAcentral.
GACAGAGGGUGCAAGCGUUGUCCGGAAUUAUUGGGCGUAAAGAGCUCGUAGGCGGUCUGUCGCGUCGGCUGUGAAAUCCCGGAGCUCAACUCCGGGUCUGCAGUCGAUACGGGCAAACUGGAGUACUGCAGGGGAGACUGGAAUUCCUGGUGUAGCGGUGAAAUGCGCAGAUAUCAGGAGGAACACCGGUGGCGAAGGCGGGUCUCUGGGCCGAUACUGACGCUGAGGAGCGAAAGCGUGGGGAGCGAACAGG